GGACAAGGAGAGGGACAGGGACAGGGUGAAGGUGGUGGUGGCUUGUCCAGGGUCCCCACCCAGGCCUCUUCCCUCAGCGCCGCGCCCCUGGGUCUGCAGCCUAAAAGCACAGUUGGUGUUUAUUAUUAAGGAAAUCGGUUUAAGCAACACCAACAGACACUAUUCUGCCCCACAAUCACAGACUCACUGAGGCUGGAAAACACCUCUGAGACCAUCGUGUCCAAUAUUUGACCGAUCACCACCUUGUCAACCAGCCCAGAGCACUGAGGGCCACAUCCAGUCAUUCCUUGAUGUGAUGGGGAAGGAAGCACCUAAGAUGGGUAAACAUUCAGAAAGUUUUAUCAGUAAAUUACACGCUUGGUAUGGAAAUUGGUGUAUUAAUGCCUGACCUACUAUAGUUGUCACACCUGAACACUUAAUAGUUAAGGUGUGACCAGGGGGGUGGCAGUGGAAGGAGCCUGACCAGCCACGAGGUCCCUUCCCCAGCACCUGUGGUUGGUCUGUGUGGAUGGGCUUUAGUCCUUCCACCUAACUGGGAGAACGUGUUCAAACUUUAGGUUUUUACUAAUAAAAUGGUAGAUUUGCAUCAUUUGAGCUCAUGUAAAAUCACAGAAAGCAGAGAUGGAGUGGAAAUUACGAUACCAAGUCCUGUCAUGGGCAGGAUCUGUUACGACUCACCUUUCUUAUGGCUUACACACCCUAAAAUCAAUCCCUUUUAAACUCAAUCUCUCUUAUAACAAGGCCACAGUUUUUCAGACCUUGUUGUCAAAAUACAUGGUAUAGCAAGGCAUGGGACUCUGCAUUUCCUAAUAAAAUUUUGCUCAGUUAAACCAAAGGCAAACAUGAAAUAGGGAAUCUGUGAAAAUUAUUCCGGUUUACCCUUUUCGAUCAGUUGAGGUAAAUCUUCUCAAGUCUUUGCCAUUGUAAAAAGCAGGCUUAAACUAAAGACUUAACUUUUCGGUGUUCCCAACUUGAGACACGUAGGGCUUUCUUUUUGUGGGUAUUUGGAGAACCCAGAAGUGCCAACAGCUCACAGAAUUGCUGACUUAGUGACAAGAUGAUCAAAGGAUGAAGCAUCUAUCACUUGAGGCACAUUUACACAUUUCUUAGCUCCUGCUUAGGCUCUUAGUAGAUGGAUAUUACAAGCAUUCAACACAUAAAUCCCUUUGAAAACCUAGUCCUGUGGGAACUGAGCUCUUGAGACUCUGCCCUGCUCUGUGUUCAUAUGGGUACCCCAAAGCACCCACAUUAGCACUUAUUUUCAUCUGUUUGCCUCAUCACUAUUUUGCCUCAUGUUGAGGCAAAACUCUGGCACGUUUUGGAUGGUCCAGGAUCAAACUGAGUGCAGCAUCACUCCAGCUGCAAAUAGAAAGUAAGAUGAUAUCAAGCUUGAUAUCUGUUGUACCUACAAGUGCUUAUUAAGGAAUGAAUAUCGUAUCACUUCCAUCGCUUCAAUUUACAAUUAGAAUUGCAACAUUUCAAAACCUUUAUUAGAACUCCUGAGCUUACAUUCUAAAUGGGUUUUGUAUGUAGUUUGAAGAGCAUAAAAACCCUCAAGGGGCUUGUGCUUUUAUUUUUCCUUCUUGUUCUUCUAUCUAGAGCUGUACUAGCCUUAUAGAUAUGGUUCUUACCUAAUCUUUCCUGCUUUUUCUGGACAGUAAUUGGAUUUGACAGAGGCAAAGGUUUAAGUAGUAUCUAUCAGAAUGUCUUCUAACCUGGAACAAUUGAGUAACUUCCUCUGUGCCUCCCAGAAUGUCCCAUUUCAUUCUAAUCACUUGUAGUUCUUAUAGCCUUGAUCUCCAAGGAUUUCCCAGCAUGACUCAGCUCAAUCUUCAAAGAGGUGAAGAAGGUUUGGCAGCAGUUUGCAGUCAGAGGAACAGACCUGUUGCAGUGAAGAAUCAGCAAAGACCAGGAUUCCUGAACGUCAAUCCCUGUGGUGCUCAUGUUGGACAAGUGCAGUAUUGAGGAACCAGUGAGGCAGGUGAGCAGAGACUAUUUCUGCAAUAAGCUUCUCCAGAAAUAAUGCUCCUAAAAUCCCAUGAAUUUUUAUUAAAUUUACUUGGCCUACAAGUCUAACAUGGGCAUUUUCAGCAGCAGACAUGAGUGAAUGGAAGAUGCAUCUUCCUGGAGAGCAUGUGCUGUGUUAGUACAGGAGGAGGAGCAGCUGUCCCCCUGCAGUCUGCCUGAAAUUUAAUCCUGUAGGGUUUCUGAAAAAGAGAAGUUUGAAGCUUUUCUUUGAACAGUAACAUCCAGAGACAAGGAGUGAAUGUGGACAUGCUGUGGUUGCUGGAGUCCAGGAGGAAGCUGAGUGAGACUGGGGUUGUUUGGUUGCAAAGAGCACAGUGAAAUAAUUCACACAACACAUCUUGGAGAGAAGAAGUAUUUUCUUUUUACCAGAGGAAAAUAAACGGGUGGAGAAAGAGGAUAAGACCCAAUUACAAAUCUUUUACUGCCACUUGCCACAAAUUGCAGAGCUUUGGAGGAGGCCACUGCACACUCCAACAAGUCCCUUGGUGUGGAUGAUCCGAGGGACAGGACUGUGACCAAACUGAGGAAGGUGAAGGCCAGGGAAGCAGAAAUUGCACACACCAUGGAGGAGGGACUCGGUGGCUCAGGACAGGGAGCCUUGGGCUCAUUCAAAAG
Long non-coding RNA from Corapipo altera (White-ruffed manakin), 2643 nucleotides. RefSeq lists it as uncharacterized. NCBI's taxonomy places the organism in Eukaryota, Metazoa, Chordata, Aves, Passeriformes, Pipridae. The record is from RefSeq and is a predicted model, not a curated record. The transcript is spliced from 3 exons.